GACGAACCGUACAAACGUUAUUCGGAAUUACUGGGCUUAAAGGGUUUGUAGGCGGCCUUGUAAGCCAGGUGUGAAAUCCCUCGGCUCAACCGAGGAAUGGCGCUUGAUACUGCAAGGCUUGAGGGAGACAGGGGUAAGCGGAACUGAUGGUGGAGCGGUGAAAUGCGUUGAUAUCAUCAGGAACACCGGUGGCGAAAGCGGCUUACUGGGUCUCUUCUGACGCUGAGGAACGAAAGCUAGGGGAGCGAACGGG
This 253-nucleotide ribosomal RNA is filed under the name uncultured bacterium. Its description in RNAcentral is "partial 16S ribosomal RNA". It matches the Rfam family "Bacterial small subunit ribosomal RNA", at positions 524 to 776 of the family's 1533-position model. The record is from RNAcentral.